GGUUAAGCGACUAAGCGUACACGGUGGAUGCCCUGGCAGUCAGAGGCGAUGAAGGACGUGCUAAUCUGCGAAAAGCGUCGGUAAGGUGAUAUGAACCGUUACAGCCGGCGAUGUCCGAAUGGGGAAACCCAGUGUGAUUCGUCACACUAUCAUUACGUGAAUACAUAGCGUAAUGAAGCGAACCGGGGGAACUGAAACAUCUAAGUACCCCGAGGAAAAGAAAUCAACCGAGAUUCCCCCAGUAGCGGCGAGCGAACGGGGAGCAGCCCGGAGUCUGAAUCAGCUUGUGUGUUAGUGGAAGCGUCUGGAAAGUCGCAGGGUACAGGGUGAUAGUCCCGUACACCAAAAUGCACAGGUUGUGAACUCGAAGAGUAGGGCGGGACACGUGGUAUCCUGUCUGAAUAUGGGGGGACCAUCCUCCAAGGCUAAAUACUCCUGACUGACCGAUAGUGAACCAGUACCGUGAGGGAAAGGCGAAAAGAACCCCGGCGAGGGGAGUGAAAAAGAACCUGAAACCGUGUACGUACAAGCAGUAGGAGCCUACUUGUUGGGUGACUGCGUACCUUUUGUAUAAUGGGUCAGCGACUUAUAUUCUGUAGCAAGGUUAACCGUAUAGGGGAGCCGAAGGGAAACCGAGUCUUAACUGGGCGUUAAGUUGCAGGGUAUAGACCCGAAACCCGGUGAUCUAGCCAUGGGCAGGUUGAAGGUUGGGUAACACUAACUGGAGGACCGAACCGACUAAUGUUGAAAAAUUAGCGGAUGACUUGUGGCUGGGGGUGAAAGGCCAAUCAAACCGGGAGAUAGCUGGUUCUCCCCGAAAGCUAUUUAGGUAGCGCCUCGUGAACUCAUCUUCGGGGGUAGAGCACUGUUUCGGCUAGGGGGUCAUCCCGACUUACCAACCCGAUGCAAACUACGAAUACCGAAGAAUGUUAUCACGGGAGACACACGGCGGGUGCUAACGUCCGUCGUGAAGAGGGAAACAACCCAGACCGCCAGCUAAGGUCCCAAAGUCAUGGUUAAGUGGGAAACGAUGUGGGAAGGCACAGACAGCCAGGAUGUUGGCUUAGAAGCAGCCAUCAUUUAAAGAAAGCGUAAUAGCUCACUGGUCGAGUCGGCCUGCGCGGAAGAUGUAACGGGGCUAAACCAUGCACCGAAGCUGCGGCAGCGACACUAUGUGUUGUUGGGUAGGGGAGCGUUCUGUAAGCCGUUGAAGGUGGCCUGUGAGGGUUGCUGGAGGUAUCAGAAGUGCGAAUGCUGACAUAAGUAACGAUAAUGCGGGUGAAAAACCCGCACGCCGGAAGACCAAGGGUUCCUGUCCAACGUUAAUCGGGGCAGGGUGAGUCGACCCCUAAGGCGAGGCCGAAAGGCGUAGUCGAUGGGAAACAGGUUAAUAUUCCUGUACUCGGUGUUACUGCGAAGGGGGGACGGAGAAGGCUAUGUUGGCCGGGCGACGGUUGUCCCGGUUUAAGCAUGUAGGCGGAUGUUCCAGGUAAAUCCGGAGCGUCACUAACGCUGAGGUGUGAUGACGAGGCACUACGGUGCUGAAGUGACAAAUGCCCUGCUUCCAGGAAAAGCCUCUAAGCAUCAGGUAACACAAAAUCGUACCCCAAACCGACACAGGUGGUCAGGUAGAGAAU
Molecule: ribosomal RNA, 1637 nt
Filed under: Staphylococcus aureus
Lineage: Bacteria; Bacillati; Bacillota; Bacilli; Caryophanales; Staphylococcaceae
Description: partial 23S ribosomal RNA
Rfam family: Bacterial large subunit ribosomal RNA
Source: RNAcentral